UACAGAGGUCCCAAGCGUUGUUCGGAUUCACUGGGCGUAAAGGGCGCGCAGGCGGCUAUCCAAGUCAGGCGUGAAAGCCCCGGGCUUAACCUGGGAGGUGCGUCUGGGACUGGGUGACUAGAGUCCGGUAGGGGAGUGUGGAAUUCCCGGUGUAGCGGUGAAAUGCGCAGAUAUCGGGAGGAACACCAGUAGCGAAGGCGACACUCUGGGCCGGUACUGACGCUGAGGAGCGAAAGCGUGGGGAGCAAACAGG
This 253-nucleotide ribosomal RNA is filed under the name uncultured bacterium. RNAcentral's name for it is "partial 16S ribosomal RNA". It matches the Rfam family "Bacterial small subunit ribosomal RNA", at positions 524 to 776 of the family's 1533-position model. The record is from RNAcentral.